Molecule: non-coding RNA, 158 nt
Filed under: bovine gut metagenome
Source: RNAcentral
GGUUCUGCCGGUAACUUCGUUGAAAGAGGGAAUCAGGUGAAAUUCCUGAGCGAUCCGGUCACUGUAAACGGGGAGCCAAGCGGUAGAAGACCAUUGUGCAUUGCAUGAGAAGGCGCUGCAGAGGCGAUGAUCCGCAAGUCAGGAAACCUGCUGAAAAA